This 460-nucleotide ribosomal RNA is filed under the name uncultured bacterium. Its description in RNAcentral is "partial 16S ribosomal RNA". It matches the Rfam family "Bacterial small subunit ribosomal RNA", at positions 338 to 795 of the family's 1533-position model. The record is from RNAcentral.
CCUACGGGAGGCAGCAGUGAGGAAUAUUGGUCAAUGGCCGUAAGCCUGAACCAGCCAAGUAGCGUGAGGGAAGACUGCCCUAUGGGUUGUAAACCUCUUUUAUGCGGGAAUAAAGUUCUGCACGUGUGGAUUUUUGCAUGUACCCCAUGAAUCAGGCCCGGCCAAUUCCGGGCCAGCAGCCGCGGUAAUCCGGAAGUUCCGGGCGUUAUCCGGAUUUAUUGGGGUUAAAGGGAGCGUAGUCGGGUCUUUAAGCCAGCCGUGAAAGUUUGUGGCUCAACCAUGGGAGUGCGGUGGGAACUGGGGGGCUGGAGUGCAGGAGAGGCAGGCGGAAUUCGUGGUGUAGCGGUGAAAUGCGUAGAUAUCAGGAAGAACACCGAUGGCGAAGGCAGCCUGCUGGAGUGCAACUGACGCUGAGGCUCGAAAGCGUGGGGAGCAAACAGGAUUAGAUACCCCAGUAGUC